This is a long non-coding RNA of Gavialis gangeticus (Gharial), 1875 nucleotides long. RefSeq lists it as uncharacterized. The transcript is spliced from 2 exons. NCBI's taxonomy places the organism in Eukaryota, Metazoa, Chordata, Crocodylia, Gavialidae. The record is from RefSeq and is a predicted model, not a curated record.
UGGCCAAAGAGUUUAAUCCAGGCACUUCUCAAAGCAGCCUGAUUUUCCUAAGUACAAAGUGCUGAGCUGCUGUGUAUGUUAUGGGCAGCUCCUGGUAGGGAAACCCCUGUGCGUGUGAUGCUGCCCAGAUCUCUGUUAAAUUUUCUCAAUCAACCUGCACAACACCUUCCUCCUUUCUUAUUUGGUUUCCCUUUCAAAACCCAGCCCAGAAUCAUUGAACUGUCCCCUGUUAGGCUUUGAGAAAGCCUUUGAACAACUUCACUCAGAGGUACCUUUAUGCUCUCCAGUCAGUGGGACCACAUCACAUUUAGGAAUUGGCUAGGGAAACUGACCCUUGGCAUGAGCUUGAUUGCAGCAUAUGUGAGACAGAACUCCUAUCUGUAUCCCCUCUCCUGUGACUGCUCCACAGUUAGUGCAGUAUGUGCAUUUGCCUGAUUUUUCAGGUGUGAUGUUUGCACUGUCCUGAUGUGUUGUGGCUAUAUAAAGAGAGCCCCUAAUCCUCCCUUGACUGCUUAUAUCUCCCAGCAGAUAAAUACUCUAUAUAUGAAUCUUGGCUGUCCCAUACACCAGAGCUUGUGAACUUUAAGUGGAUUUCAGGCUCUUAAAGGAGGAAACUGGUGAAUUCAGGAAAGAUACAAUCAGCAAAAUAGCAGCUUAAUUUCUUUUUUGUGUCUAAUUUUGUACUGAAUUUACUCUAGAAGAGCUUCUAGUCACUUGAUUGCCAAGUACAAUCAUCACUAGUAUUUAAGAUAACCUCUGUAGGAGAGAGGAGGCAUGGAAUAGCUAGAGGCUGCCCUGACUUUUUAGGGACAGCUUGUGUCCCUUUUAUUUGCUGCAUCCCAGAUGAGCUGUGAAAAUCUCAAGAUGUUUGGUGCCUCUGCCAUCAGUUCUAAUCUUCCUUCCUUAUUUAAAUUGCCACUAUAAUCAAACUUUUCAGUAAUAGGUUACUUAUAUUCUGGCAUUCUCCUUUGCAGCAGAGAAUGCCAGACUGUGGCGGGGGCAGGUGUAUACAUUACGUGUAACGGUGAAGUGUUUCCAACAUGGAGAGGAAAGGGGAGUGGGGGUGGGAGGGAAGGGAAGGAAACACCUUGCCGAGCCUGCUUCUGUAGGCAAAUUGAUCUGCAAACAUGCAACUGCAAAUGUGCUGAGGGAAAGCAGCCUGUCAGUCUUGGGCAACAUCAGUCGACCACGGUUGAAGAAGAGAUUGCAAGGCCAAGUGUGGGGUUAAGGAAAGGUGUGCUGUGGAACCAUCUUUGGAGUAGGGAGGAGGUAGGUGAGAGGAGACUUGGUGAAGAUGGAAGUGGAUUUGGGUUAUUAUUGUACAACACUAGAGAUGGGAACAUGAUACUUCUUCCAAAGUGCAUACAAUCUGUUUUCAGCAGGCAUUAUAUAACAAAGAGGGGGAAUGGAGGAAGUAACGAGCAGAGGAGGUUUGGGGAGAAAACUGGCUGACAAGGCUGUAAUAACAAUGGCUACAUAUUUGCCAAAGGGACGUGUCCACCAAGAGAGAGAAGGUUACGCUGAGGCUUUAACGUACUUUAAAAAAUAAAGGACUCUGACUUCUCCAGUCACACCCAUGCUCUUCCUGAGGAGCUUUCGAGUCUGUAAAUGUGGAACUGUCUUUCUUAGUGAUAUCAGUUUAUCUGUAUCAUUCCUGUAAGAGAGCAAGACUAUAAAAACAUAGAAGAGCCUUGGUUAUUAAGUGGGGACACAGGCUAAUACAACUAACCUCUCACCACGAGCUUCCUACACGACCCGUGGUGGCUUGGAAAAUUACCUUCAAGUGCCAGCUCCUGACGGGAAUGCGUUGAGGUACGAGUUUCCCAGUGUCUUUUUGGGAACUGACAUCUGUAUGAAAAAUAAACCUUUCUCCCA